GAGUUUGAUCCUGGCUCAGGACGAACGCUGGCGGCGUGCUUAACACAUGCAAGUCGAACGGUGAUGUCAGAGCUUGCUCUGGCGGAUCAGUGGCGAACGGGUGAGUAACACGUGAGUAACCUGCCCCCGACUCUGGGAUAACUGCUAGAAAUGGUAGCUAAUACCGGAUAUGACGACUGGCCGCAUGGUCUGGUCGUGGAAAGAAUUUCGGUUGGGGAUGGACUCGCGGCCUAUCAGGUUGUUGGUGAGGUAAUGGCUCACCAAGCCUACGACGGGUAGCCGGCCUGAGAGGGUGACCGGCCACACUGGGACUGAGACACGGCCCAGACUCCUACGGGAGGCAGCAGUGGGGAAUAUUGCACAAUGGGCGCAAGCCUGAUGCAGCAACGCCGCGUGAGGGAUGACGGCCUUCGGGUUGUAAACCUCUUUUAGUAGGGAAGAAGCGAAAGUGACG
This 454-nucleotide ribosomal RNA is filed under the name Clavibacter nebraskensis. RNAcentral describes it as "bacterial SSU rRNA". It matches the Rfam family "Bacterial small subunit ribosomal RNA", at positions 9 to 474 of the family's 1533-position model. The record is from RNAcentral. Lineage: Bacteria; Bacillati; Actinomycetota; Actinomycetes; Micrococcales; Microbacteriaceae.